Molecule: long non-coding RNA, 244 nt
Filed under: Elaeis guineensis (African oil palm)
Lineage: Eukaryota; Viridiplantae; Streptophyta; Magnoliopsida; Arecales; Arecaceae
Description: long non-coding RNA (EGUI_LNC060283)
Source: RNAcentral
CCUUAUGUGCCCCCACAGCCCUGUUAGGGAUAGGAGGAGAACCUCGCCCUAACAUGAGCAAAGUCGAAGGCCCGGUUGCUCUUAAGACCGGAUGGGGGGAGAGGCCCUACAACGCCCUUAUGUGCCCCCACAGCCCUGUUAGGGACAGGAGGAGGACCUCGCCCUAACAUGAGCAAAGUCGAAGGCCCGAUUACUCUUAGACCGGAUGGGAGGAGAGGCCCUGCGAUGCCCAUAUGUGCCCCCA